This 253-nucleotide ribosomal RNA is filed under the name uncultured bacterium. Its description in RNAcentral is "partial 16S ribosomal RNA". It matches the Rfam family "Bacterial small subunit ribosomal RNA", at positions 524 to 776 of the family's 1533-position model. The record is from RNAcentral.
UACGUAGGGGGCGAGCGUUGUCCGGAAUCAUUGGGCGUAAAGAGCGUGUAGGCGGUCCGUUAAGUCUGGUGUGAAAUCUUGAGGCUCAACCUCAAGCUGUCAUCGGAUACUGUCGGGCUAGAGUCCGGAAGAGGAGAGUGGAAUUCCUGGUGUAGCGGUGGAAUGCGCAGAUAUCAGGAGGAACAUCCGUGGCGAAGGCGGCUCUCUGGUACGGUACUGACGCUGAGACGCGAAAGCGUGGGGAGCGAACAGG